GUAUGCACGCGGCUUAGUUAUAAAAUCUGAGUGACGGCUAGGCCACGAAAAGUAAGAAUUCCCGAGGGGCAACGGGAAUACGAUGCGCGUUAAGGUUAAGUGGACGGCAACAGCUUCGCUAGCAACCCGCCUUCACAGAGUGCAUUGGGCCUUCAAAUAUUUUAUCACCAUAUGUACGGCUCCGCUGGUCAUCCGCUUUCACAAAGUGAAAUGACCCUGUCCUUUCUUUCUUUUUUUCAACUUGCGGAAGGGUAGUUUAGUAACAAAGGUCAAAUUGUUUUGGGGGGCUAUGUCGUUAUUAUUGCGGCCUCGGGAAACCUUAGCGUGCGUCUGCGUGCGCAUUGUUUGCUUCUUCGCCGUAAUGACAGUAAUCGAUAUGCGGAAUCUGACAAUUCCAACACAAAGAUCUUCAGGAAUACUCUCCCCAGCAAAUAAAACCCGGCGACGCACCGGCGGCGUUAGCGCAGUGGUUAAGGCGCCGCGCUGCUGUGCAGACGGUCGCAGGUUCGAAUCCGCAGCGGAGACUGCAAGAGCGCCCAUGUACACCGCGCACUGCAUGCAUGUCGAUGGUGGUAAAAAGUAAUCUAGGCAUAUUGGAUACGGCGUUCAACAUAACAAGAGCGUGUUGUGGCAUGUAAAGUCCGCUGAAUUACUUUUUUUUUUUUGAGUAAGCUUUCCGGAAGUAGGCUUUGCUUGACAACAUCCGUCCCUUCAGUUUGCAAAUGGUGUUCGAAACGCGGCGGGGGUCGGUGCGCAACCUUGCCUUCAGGGAUGCAAGCACUUAUUUUUGUGCGCGUUUUAACGGUGUUUUACGAGAACACAAAUCGACGGCAUCAGCGCAAGGCGAAACGAGCACUAGAAAAGCUGCGGGUUCCAGCCGGCGUUUGUGUAAGGGCCUGAGCGCUGCCGGCCAUGGGCGGAACCAGACGCCGACGGACAUUUCCGUGGCUCGUGGUUCGAACAAUGCAGGGACGGACAGCCGGGCCAAGCUACGUUUCCCAGCAGAAGAGGACUUCCCGUGGCUCAUGGUACGAAAACCGGGGGGACGAGCAGCCGAGCCAAGUUACGUUUCCCAGGCGACGAGAACGAAUGGCGAGAGAUGGACGUAGUCGUGUCCUGGACGCAUCCCUUGUGCAAAGACGACGCUGGCCGUUCGUGCGUCAUCACCGGCUCACUUAUGGGAGACACUACUAAUACGGGUCACCAAACUAUACGAUCUGGCCGAAAAGCGGCCCGGUGUCUUGCUGCCUACACUACGGACGUGGUAGCCAGACCUUCUAGCACGAUGGUGUCUGGCAGACUGCCAUGCUGACCUGGUGGUCAGCUGUUUGAGCAGCUUGCUGGCUUGAGCCCCACCCUGUGGAUCUACUGACCAGCUGAUCCGGCGAGCUGGAAUCGCCAUGUACGCCCUGCUAACCAGGCGACCAGCUGCUCUUGUGGCCCAUCGGCUGCGUACGUUAAGGAAUCACAGAACGUCCCGGUGGCUCUUGGUUCAAGAAACGAGCGUAUGCACAGCCGGGCCAAGCUCCGAUUCUUGUAACAGAUGAGAUAGCGUUGCUGUAUAUGGGACUACGUAGGUGAACAACUAUCAUCGAGGCGCGGAUGGCGAGGGGUUCGGAAGCAACAUCUGGGGUAAUCACAUCUAGGGCGAUCACUUUCGCCGGCAAUCACACUAGAUAUGUGCGCGUAUACGGCCAGAAAGCGUUUCUCGCUCUGUGCCAAGCUCGCUUUUCACCGUGCUCCUCACAUACGUGUGCGUUGUCUUCUCUUUCAUUGGUUCCGACAACGAACGGCGCGAGAUCGACAUGUUCCUGCACGCAUCUGUCGAACGAAGACGAUGCUGGCCUCUCGUGCGUCAUCACCAGGUCACGCGGGGGAGGCAGCACGGGUGCCGACUGCACGAGUCAAACCAGCAAGGGCCAGCAUCUGUCCAAAGAAUACCGCCCUGUAGGCGACCAUGGGCGCUUGGCCCGGGAGGCCCAGGUCGAAGAGGGUUCCAUGCCGCCACAGGAACCCCUCGACCAUGUUUUCGACUCACUGGCUGCACUCGAACAUCGCCUGUGCUGACAGGUUGCAUAGCGUCACCAGGUCGACUGCGGUGUGCAAGACGGCUAUCUACCGCACUCACCGGUUCACCUGGCUCCAGGAGCAGCGAGGCGACCAGCGUCCGCAGCGGCACCCUCAUGUCAAGCCACAUGUGCCAGUCGCGAGAAACGUAGGCGACACCGUGAUCCAGCCUUGCCGGUGGCAAGAAGGCUCCGUGUUGCCUCCAUGCAGCCGAAUACUCCACUUUGAAUAUCGAUUCUGAGCAGCGUGCUCACCGGAAGUGGGAGAGAUGAGGAUCUCCCCACCACGCACUUCGAGCGACAAAUCCUUCGAUCGGAAGCAACCUGCUCCGAGACCGCCGAAGAGCCGCUGACCCAGGCUGCAGAGGUUCAGCUGCAACGUCAGGUCGCGAACCUGCUUCAGGGCGGCCAGAUUUACCGUGACGACGACGAACGCGGCCGUUUGGACCAUUGCUGAAAAUUCUGAGGAACGCGUGGUUACGCACACACAAAAAUAAAGUCUGACAACACCGCUGGCCAUCAGGCCCGAAGACGACGACGGCGACGUAUAGCAUCCAGGACGUGCGGGGUACAUCCUGAAUAGCCUAAGGAUAGCUUGGGCCGAGUAAUCGAAAUAUAGAGCACCGAUAACACGGCGGCUUAACGAGUUAUCGAGUUGGAGAAGGCAGUGGAAAGACGGAGUGGAAUGGUGGUGGAUGGCAUGAAUAGCUUAAGGGACGGAAAACCACGUGUGACUGCAAAACGUGGCGGAGGCGUUCAUAGUAGCGUAUGCUGCUUGUGUACCGUGUUCCCCCCAAGCCACUAAGGUGUUUCGAGACCCUUUUAACGCGGUAAUGCAUAACGCACCCGCUGUAUACUGCGCAGCUUGAGACUACGAAAUUCAAGUUUGUGCACGUGAAUCAGAAGUAGCGAUAGUAAUUCGCUGUCGCGCCAAGUGUCAAUUUUGAGUAGCUUGGGAAUCGAAUUGCUAACUAUGGUGGGUGCUAAUUACCUUUGCUAACAAAUUCUAUCUUCAGCACAAAUUUGCACUCCAUAUGGCGUGAAAUGGAGAAAAUUCUGCGUACGUAGAAGCGUGCUUGAGCAUUGCAGGGUUAAAUACUCCCCGAAUAGUGUUGGUUUCAGUGUCGUUGAAUGAUGUGAACAGCAAGCUCGUCAAAGUGUUUGAAAGCUGCAGCAGAGGACGAGGAAACCUGGAUUGAGACACGUGACUUCUGCAAUAUUCACGGUGCAUCUUGAACGCAUACCACAAAUUGAGUACAUCAAAAAAAAAAAAAUUUCGAGAUGGCUUAUAACACUGCCGCCUGAACUGGCGCCCCUGUAUUGUGUUGUAAGAAAAGUUGCUCGUGACGUCAGCAUUUUGCAUAGGUUAAGCAAUCUCCGUAGAAAGAAGAGCUACUUGAAUGCUCACACCUACUUUACACUUUCUUUUUCUCUGGUGACCCGCAUUCUUUUUCUGUUGGAACGAACAGCUGAGCGCAGUACUUAGCCCCAGGCUUCCAUGAUGCUCGUCCAAAUGUCCUGCCUCGGGAAUCGAGAUUUCCGUCUCGUGAAGCUGCCGUCUUUCGACCCUUACGGUCAUGAGAGUUUACCGGACGCCGCUAAGACGACGUGAAGCUGUUUUCAUGUCCCUGCCAUCGUAAAUUUUAACGUGCGUACUUGCGAUGUACUUCCGAUUCCCAGUAGCGGUUGUUCGUUAACUGAUGUAUUUGACGUCAAUUUUUUUUUGCGACAUUCCGCAGCGCAUUUUCGACAUUGCGACAUGUUUACAGGUAGUGUACAUGUGCGCACGUGUAAACUACAGGAGAUUGGUUGGCUUAUAGCAACGUAGCCGACGUUGUGCUGCAGACUAGCCGGCGGAAAGAGCACUCCGUGUCUCCGUGCAGCCGCGUGCUCUGCAUUGAAUAUCGUUUGACCAGGAUGUCGCGCAGGAUUGAACCACCUUGCUCUGCAGCUGUCAAAGCACCUAGAACACUUCGAAACAUGACUGCUGGCGUCACUGAACCAUAGUUCGCAAUUAUUGGUGGUUUUACUACUACACGCAGAGUAUACAUACUGUUUGCCUUGCAUGGUGCUGCAAAACAACCCUGAAAUUGCAACCUACGGCAUCAUCCUCUCGAUUUCUUUUGCGUGCGUGUGUUUCGACCCGCCCAUAGGAAUGCUUUGAUUUGUGUAACAAUGUUUACGAGUUUCGAAAUAAAGUUCA
Dermacentor albipictus is the source of this 4269-nucleotide non-coding RNA. NCBI's taxonomy places the organism in Eukaryota, Metazoa, Arthropoda, Arachnida, Ixodida, Ixodidae. The record is from RefSeq and is a predicted model, not a curated record.